Molecule: ribosomal RNA, 255 nt
Filed under: uncultured bacterium
Lineage: Bacteria
Description: partial 16S ribosomal RNA
Rfam family: Bacterial small subunit ribosomal RNA
Source: RNAcentral
UACGAAGGGGGCUAGCGUUGCUCGGAAUUACUGGGCGUAAAGCGCACGUAGGCGGCUUCUUAAGUCGGUGGUGAAAUCCUGGAGCUCAACUCCAGAACUGCCUUCGAUACUGGGAGCUCGAGUCCGGGAGAGGUGAGUGGAACUGCGAAGUGUAGAGGUGAAAUUCGUAGAAUAUUCGCAAGAACACCAGUGGCGAAGGCGGCUCACUGGCCCGGUACUGACGCUGAGGUGCGAAAGCGUGGGGAGCAAACAGGG